AUGACAGUGCAAUUCUCCUUUGGCAGAGGGAACAUGUAGAUUAGCUCUUCUGGUUUGCCAAAGGAGAAUUGCCCUGCUAUUUCUUACAGCUCAUGUUUUUAUGAUUUAUCAUAUCUGCUAUGCCUGUCUGAUUUCCAUGUUCUGCUAGAAACAUGUUUCAGCUUCUUGUGGUAGUAUAAUAUAAAUGCUUGUAAGUUCCUCACUAGCUCUCCAUUAAGGAGAUGCUGAAGAACAAUAUGAAGGAACAUAUCAGCUAUCUUUGAACAAUAUCCAUGACUGUCUUAGAAAGCAGCCAGAAGAAGAAGAGGCUAUCAUUCACAAUUGUGAUGAACUAAUAAUAAAAAUUGAAGUUUCACUUA
Molecule: long non-coding RNA, 359 nt
Organism: Prosopis cineraria
Lineage: Eukaryota; Viridiplantae; Streptophyta; Magnoliopsida; Fabales; Fabaceae
Exons: 2
Source: RefSeq, a predicted model, not a curated record